RNAcentral lists this unclassified non-coding RNA (651 nucleotides) under Hevea brasiliensis (rubber tree). The record is from RNAcentral. Lineage: Eukaryota; Viridiplantae; Streptophyta; Magnoliopsida; Malpighiales; Euphorbiaceae.
GUUUGAUCAGGAACUACCCUCCUACUGCCUGAUGUAUCAUGCAGUCUUCCAUCUGCAUUAGCGGUCUCUAAACUGGCUUGAAUGGCCAUGGAGAGUUCACUCUCAGCAUUAUCACGCCUAAAUGAUUGUCCCCUUCCACGACGAUUAACCUGUUCACUACUACGGCGAUAUCGGAAACUUGUUGGUAUCUGCAAAGCAGCACUGCGUUGGGAACGCGACAUACGACCUCCAUGCUCGAGAGUAUUGUGCCUCUUCAACUCAGCUUCAGACUGGAAAACAAUAAAUUUUUUCGCAAGACAGCUCCCGUCUUCACAUAAGAAAUGAUCUCUGCGGAAGUGGAUCUCUAGGUCAUCAUAAUUCUUGUAGUAUUCGUAUUGCCCAGGGUGCUGCCUCUGGCACAUGUGACAAGUAUAAUGUUCAGUCGACAUGUGAGAAUACAACUCAUUAUCACCAUAAAAUGGGGUCCUACAGAAUUCACAAAGAGGAUGACCCAUGAAUCCACCUCUUUCACUUUCAGUACCAUCAACCUCAGAGUCACCUGUGUGUAUAUGCUGAUUCAGCUGAGCCCUUGUGUACAGCUUCUGCUCACAGAUAAAUAUCUUUCUUCCUUCCAAACAUAAGCUGCACAUGUGCAACUUGUGCUUAUGGAAC